This 57-nucleotide transfer RNA is filed under the name Loxodonta africana (African savanna elephant). It matches the Rfam family "tRNA", at positions 8 to 63 of the family's 71-position model. Rfam says of the family: Transfer RNA (tRNA) molecules are approximately 80 nucleotides in length. Their secondary structure includes four short double-helical elements and three loops (D, anti-codon, and T loops). Lineage: Eukaryota; Metazoa; Chordata; Mammalia; Proboscidea; Elephantidae. The record is from Rfam by way of RNAcentral.
UGGCACAGUGGUAAAGCAUUUGUCUGCUAACCAAAAAGUUGGUGGUUUGAACCCACC